Molecule: long non-coding RNA, 398 nt
Organism: Ailuropoda melanoleuca (giant panda)
Lineage: Eukaryota; Metazoa; Chordata; Mammalia; Carnivora; Ursidae
Exons: 3
Source: RefSeq, a predicted model, not a curated record
AUUUUAGAGCAGGUGGUUGAUAAGGAAGUCCUCUCUGAAGAGGUGACAUGUGACCUGAGGCUCAGGGAGAGUAUUUCUGAUGAGGGGGCAGCAAGUGUAAAGGCCCUGAGACAGGAACGAAUUCGCAAGGUUGAACGGAAGGAAGACUGAAUUCUGAAUGAGCCAUUACAGAAGAGAAGUUCACGAAGAAGCACUCCCCGUCCUGAUGCUAUGCCAUGGAUGGAAAACAAAUGCCUGACUAAGGAUGCAAGACCCAUCCUAGAUUGCCCCCACCUUUGAAAAAUCCUCUUUGCAUCUUUCCACUUUUCUGCCGUGAAACUACCAGUCCAUGCAUCAAACACGUCAAGUCCUUGGUGCAAGGUCAAAGACACAAGCUAACUCCUUCGCUGGAAAUGCAC